GUUGUUGGGUAGGGGAGCGUUCUGUAAGCCGUCGAAGGUGUGCUGUGAGGCAUGCUGGAGGUAUCAGAAGUGCGAAUGCUGACAUAAGUAACGAUAAAGCGGGUGAAAAGCCCGCUCGCCGGAAGACCAAGGGUUCCUGUUCAACGUUAAUCGGAGCAGGGUGAGUCGACCCCUAAGGCGAGGCCGAAAGGCGUAGUCGAUGGGAAACAGGUUAAUAUUCCUGUACUCGGUGUUACUGCGAAGGGGGGACGGAGAAGGCUAUAUCAGCCGGGCGACGGUUGUCCCGGUUUAAGCGUGUAGGCGGAGGGUCCAGGUAAAUCCGGACUCUUAUCAACGCUGAGGCGUGACGACGAGGCACUACGGUGCUGAAGUGAUAAAUGCCUGGCUUCCAGGAAAAGCCUCUAAGCAUCAGGUAACACAGAAUCGUACCCCAAACCGACACAGGUGGUCAGGUAGAGAAUACCAAGGCGCUUGAGAGAACUCGGGUGAAGGAACUAGGCAAAAUGGUGCCGUAACUUCGGGAGAAGGCACGCUGGCGCGUAGGUGGAGGGA
This 552-nucleotide ribosomal RNA is filed under the name Mesorhizobium sp. Its description in RNAcentral is "partial 23S ribosomal RNA". It matches the Rfam family "Bacterial large subunit ribosomal RNA", at positions 1220 to 1768 of the family's 2925-position model. Lineage: Bacteria; Pseudomonadati; Pseudomonadota; Alphaproteobacteria; Hyphomicrobiales; Phyllobacteriaceae. The record is from RNAcentral.